GGGCGCAUAGCUCAGCGGAUAGAGCAACCGCCUUCUAAGCGGUCGGUCGCAGGUUCGAAACCUGCUGCGCCCG
Rubidibacter lacunae KORDI 51-2 is the source of this 73-nucleotide transfer RNA. It matches the Rfam family "tRNA". Rfam says of the family: Transfer RNA (tRNA) molecules are approximately 80 nucleotides in length. Their secondary structure includes four short double-helical elements and three loops (D, anti-codon, and T loops). NCBI's taxonomy places the organism in Bacteria, Bacillati, Cyanobacteriota, Cyanophyceae, Chroococcales, Aphanothecaceae. The record is from Rfam.